GGAGUGGGCUGUAGCCCUGUUUGACUUCCCCGGUCAGACCCCAGAGGAUCUGUCCUUCCACAAGGGGGCGCUGAUCCAAGUGACGGAGCACAUCGACGCAGAGUGGAGGAGAGGAAGAGUGGAGGGGAGAGAGGGGCUUUACCCUGUGGCCUUCACACAGCCCUGCAAAGCUCAGCCAAUCACAGGCCAGCAGCCUGUGGCUAAAGGAAUGGCCAAAGCUCUGUUUGACUUCACAGCAGAAAGCGAGGAUGAGCUCACACUGAAGGUCGGUGACAUUAUCACACAGGUGGAGGCUGUGGAUGAGCAGUGGAUUAUGGGCGUUGUGGGCGGGAAGCAUGGGAUUGUGCCUACGGACACGCACAUGAAUCU
This is a long non-coding RNA of Oreochromis aureus, 369 nucleotides long. RefSeq lists it as uncharacterized. The record is from RefSeq and is a predicted model, not a curated record. Lineage: Eukaryota; Metazoa; Chordata; Actinopteri; Cichliformes; Cichlidae. The transcript is spliced from 3 exons.